This 101-nucleotide non-coding RNA is filed under the name Chthonomonas calidirosea. Its description in RNAcentral is "TPP sequence". It matches the Rfam family "TPP riboswitch aptamer (THI element)". Rfam says of the family: Vitamin B(1) in its active form thiamin pyrophosphate (TPP) is an essential coenzyme that is synthesised by coupling of pyrimidine and thiazole moieties in bacteria. The previously detected thiamin-regulatory element, thi box was extended, resulting in a new, highly conserved RNA secondary structure, the THI element, which is widely distributed in eubacteria and also occurs in some archaea. RNAcentral also lists the same sequence under 1 other name. Lineage: Bacteria; Bacillati; Armatimonadota; Chthonomonadia; Chthonomonadales; Chthonomonadaceae. The record is from RNAcentral.
AUUCUAUGCUAGGGGUGCUGUAAAGCUGAGAGGGCUACCUAGCCCAACCCUAUGAACCUGAUUCGGGUAAUGCCGACGGAGGGAAGCAAUGACUCAUUUAU